This 274-nucleotide ribosomal RNA is filed under the name uncultured prokaryote. RNAcentral's name for it is "partial 16S ribosomal RNA". It matches the Rfam family "Bacterial small subunit ribosomal RNA", at positions 524 to 798 of the family's 1533-position model. The record is from RNAcentral.
GACGUAGGGGCGAGCGUUGUCCGGAAUUACUGGGCGCAAAGAGCACGCAGGCGGGAACUUAAGUCAGGUGUGAAAGACCGUGGCUCAACCACGGGGUGGCAUUUGAAACUGGGUUUCUUGAGGGCAGGAGAGGAAAGCAGAAUUCCUGGUGUAGCGGUGAAAUGCGUAGAAACCAGGAGGAAUACCAGUGGCGAAGGCGGCUCUCUGGACUGUAACUGACGCUGAGGCACGAAAGCGUGGGGAGCAAACAGGAUUAGAUACCCUGGUAGUCCCU